GACGAACGCUGGCGGCGUGCUCAACACAUGCAAGUCGAACGGAAAGGCCCUGCUUUUGUGGGGUGCUCGAGUGGCGAACGGGUGAGUAACACGUGAGUAACCUGCCCUUGACUUUGGGAUAACUUCAGGAAACUGGGGCUAAUACCGGAUAGGAGCUCCUGCUGCAUGGUGGGGGUUGGAAAGUUUCGGCGGUUGGGGAUGGACUCGCGGCUUAUCAGCUUGUUGGUGGGGUAGUGGCUUACCAAGGCUUUGACGGGUAGCCGGCCUGAGAGGGUGACCGGCCACAUUGGGACUGAGAUACGGCCCAGACUCCUACGGGAGGCAGCAGUGGGGAAUAUUGCACAAUGGGCGGAAGCCUGAUGCAGCAACGCCGCGUGCGGGAUGACGGCCUUCGGGUUGUAAACCGCUUUCGCCUGUGACGAAGCGUGAGUGACGGUAAUGGAUAAAGAAGCACCGGCUAACUACGUGCCAGCAGCCGCGGUGAUACGUAGGGUGCGAGCGUUGUCCGGAUUUAUUGGGCGUAAAGGGCUCGUAGGUGGUUGAUCGCGUCGGAAGUGUAAUCUUGGGGCUUAACCCUGAGCGUGCUUUCGAUACGGGUUGACUUGAGGAAGGUAGGGGAGAAUGGAAUUCCUGGUGGAGCGGUGGAAUGCGCAGAUAUCAGGGGGAACACCAGUGGCGAAGGCGGUUCUCUGGGCCUUUCCUGACGCUGAGGAGCGAAGGCGUGGGGAGCGAACAGGCUUAGAUACCCUGGUAGUCCACGCUGUAAACGGUGGGUACUAGGUGUGGGGUCCAUUCCACGGGUUCCGUGCCGUAGCUAACGCUUUAAGUACCCCGCCUGGGGAGUACGGCCGCAAGGCUAAAACUCAAAGGAAUUGACGGGGCCCCGCACAAGCGGCGGAGCAUGCGGAUUAAUUCGAUGCAACGCGUAGAACCUUACCUGGGUUUGACAUGGAUCGGGAGUGCUCAGAGAUGGGUGUGCCUCUUUUGGGGUCGGUUCACAGGUGGUGCAUGGCUGUCGUCAGCUCGUGUCGUGAGAUGUUGGGUUAAGUCCCGCAACGAGCGCAACCCUUGUUCACUGUUGCCAGCACGUUAUGGUGGGGACUCAGUGGAGACCGCCGGGGUCAACUCGGAGGAAGGUGGGGAUGACGUCAAGUCAUCAUGCCCCUUAUGUCCAGGGCUUCACGCAUGCUACAAUGGCUGGUACAGAGAGUGGCGAGCCUGUGAGGGUGAGCGAAUCUCGGAAAGCCGGUCUCAGUUCGGAUUGGGGUCUGCAACUCGACCUCAUGAAGUCGGAGUCGCUAGUAAUCGCAGAUCAGCAACGCUGCGGUGAAUACGUUCCCGGG
This 1343-nucleotide ribosomal RNA is filed under the name uncultured bacterium. RNAcentral's name for it is "16S ribosomal RNA". It matches the Rfam family "Bacterial small subunit ribosomal RNA", at positions 28 to 1378 of the family's 1533-position model. The record is from RNAcentral.